AGUACUGUAGCUCAGUUGGUAGAGCUUUAGGUCGUUGGUUCGAGUCCAACCAGUGCUA
Molecule: transfer RNA, 58 nt
Filed under: Oleispira sp.
Lineage: Bacteria; Pseudomonadati; Pseudomonadota; Gammaproteobacteria; Oceanospirillales; Oceanospirillaceae
Description: tRNA-OTHER
Rfam family: tRNA
About the family: Transfer RNA (tRNA) molecules are approximately 80 nucleotides in length. Their secondary structure includes four short double-helical elements and three loops (D, anti-codon, and T loops). Further hydrogen bonds mediate the characteristic L-shaped molecular structure. tRNAs have two regions of fundamental functional importance: the anti-codon, which is responsible for specific mRNA codon recognition, and the 3' end, to which the tRNAs corresponding amino acid is attached (by aminoacyl-tRNA synthetases). tRNAs cope with the degeneracy of the genetic code in two manners: having more than one tRNA (with a specific anti-codon) for a particular amino acid; and 'wobble' base-pairing, i.e. permitting non-standard base-pairing at the 3rd anti-codon position.
Source: RNAcentral